Molecule: RNA transcript, 1579 nt
Organism: Salvia splendens (bonfire salvia)
Lineage: Eukaryota; Viridiplantae; Streptophyta; Magnoliopsida; Lamiales; Lamiaceae
Gene name: E3 ubiquitin-protein ligase MARCHF9
Exons: 5
Source: RefSeq, a predicted model, not a curated record
CAUAGCAAACUCCAGUCACUCUCAUGACUGACUAGUCCGUUUCACUUGUGUGAUGUAAAUUGUACAACAAACUCUCAUCUACACCUUUGAUUCUCUCUGCUGCAUCCUUUUUUUGCAUUCCUCUCAAAUCUGAUAGCUAAAUAGUUCGAUUCUCCAAUCCAGAGAACAGUUCAAUUCGUUUCUGCCGCUAAUUGUUGGUUUUGGUAAAUGCGGAAUGGUGUGGUCGGUGAAUUUCCCGACGCCGACAUCGAGAAGCAGCAGAACGGCAGGUCAAUAUCAGGACUUGGCUAAGAAAGUAGUGAUUGACGUGGUGGUCGUGGACUGCGCCAGCAUAAGUCAAUCACUGCCCGAGAGAGAUUCGAAUACUCAUGAAGAGUGCAGGGUAUGCCAGGAGGAAAAUGAAGAAGCCUUGAUCAGUCUUGGAUGUCUUUGUCGAGGCGGUCUUUCAAAAGCACAUCAUUCGUGCAUAGUGAAGUGGUUUAACACCCAAGGUUCGAAUAAAUGUGAGAUAUGCCAGUUAAGUGUCCGAAAUUUAAGAGGUGAUUUUAGCUUUAUCUAUGACGGAUGAUAAUGAGCCUCCAUAAUUCUCAUGUAGGCAAGAAGCUGCCAACGUAAUACCUCCUGAUCCUCAAGCAAGUGUCGGUCAAAUUUAGAAUUAGAUGUUUAAGAUUUUGAUAUGGAAUUCUGAUUGAUAUGCAUACACUCUCUUCCCUACUUUUGUACUUGUUGUGAUUGCAUUCAUGAUGCAUACUCAAUUCUUAAAGGAAUCACAGUUUGAAUAGGUUAUUGAACUCUAGGAUAUUGGUUAAAAUCUUAGUAUUUGUGAAAUUAAUACUAUGUUUUGCUUAGUUAGGCAAAGGGAAAUUGCCAGUCAUUAUACGGCUUUGCAGAAGAACAUUACCACUGAAGCUGUCAUAAUUUAUGUUUUUGUCUAGUUACUGGGUUUGGACGGUUGAUCCAGCCUUUAGAGCGCAAGAUCAUCAAAGGGGGUGUUUUAAGUCCGCUUUGGGUGGCGUUCUCCAUUCUUGUUGGUGGUCUUUUGCUGGAUGUGUUGAUUUCCGUAACCCUUGGUGUUUCUGCCCUCCCAGUUAACAUUAUCAUUGGAGUGAUCGUUGUGCUGGGACUUGGCACAGCUCUUCGACUGGGGCUAGAGUUUUGUCAAGAGUGAAAUGUGAGAAGAGUGGUGCAGCGGGUAGAAGCAAACGCCACUAUUGGGUAUCAUCCGGCACUGUAAGCCAGACUUUUCCCUGCAUAUUUUAUGAGCGGAUGUGUUGUUGUGUUGUAAGUUAAGAAAAAAAAGGAUCUAGCUUUAUUCACUAAGUCAGGCGAUAGAAAGUGGAAACUAGUAGUUAGGAGGUUCAUCGAGAGAUCUUUAUUUCAUCUUGCUUCCACUGCUGACUUGCUGUAUAUAUUCAUUUUAUUGUCGUUGAUUCAUUGUAAAUGCUCACUGAAUAUGUAGUUGUACUCACAUUUUAGGUUAUCACUUGCCGAGAGGAUCGAUUUCAAAAGGUUCACAGUUAUAAUUUACGGACUGUAUAUAAUGACAUAGCUUCGUUUAUAGUUGUUGAACGUAUGAGGA